GUGUAGGGAGAAGGCCACAGAACAGAACAGCUGCUGCACACGUUUCUGGAUGAGACCACGACCCGCACGCCCGACACAAAGCAGGAAAGCCGCGCCUAGGACUAUGUGGCAGAGAUGUUGAUCCCACUCAGAGGGCAGACCCACAGGCUAGAAGAAACAUCAUCCAAUCAUCUGUAAACAAUUUCUCUAUUGUCUUAUUAAAAGAUGCAGGAGGAAAAAAUUGAUGGAAAUGUGAAAAUGAUUUUUCCUCAUUAAUAAGCAACAACGA
This is a long non-coding RNA of Suricata suricatta (meerkat), 268 nucleotides long. RefSeq lists it as uncharacterized. The record is from RefSeq and is a predicted model, not a curated record. Lineage: Eukaryota; Metazoa; Chordata; Mammalia; Carnivora; Herpestidae. The transcript has 2 exons.